This 1164-nucleotide ribosomal RNA is filed under the name Burkholderia vietnamiensis. RNAcentral's name for it is "partial 23S ribosomal RNA". It matches the Rfam family "Bacterial large subunit ribosomal RNA", at positions 1 to 1210 of the family's 2925-position model. The record is from RNAcentral. Lineage: Bacteria; Pseudomonadati; Pseudomonadota; Betaproteobacteria; Burkholderiales; Burkholderiaceae.
GGUCAAGCGAACAAGUGCAUGUGGUGGAUGCCUUGGCGAUCACAGGCGAUGAAGGACGCGGUAGCCUGCGAAAAGCUACGGGGAGCUGGCAAACGAGCUUUGAUCCGUAGAUGUCCGAAUGGGGAAACCCGGCCCUUUUGGGUCAUCCUGGACUGAAUACAUAGGUCCAGAGAAGCGAACGCGGUGAACUGAAACAUCUAAGUAACCGCAGGAAAAGAAAUCAACCGAGAUUCCCAAAGUAGUGGCGAGCGAAAUGGGAUGAGCCUUGCACUCUUUAUUUGUAUUGUUAGCCGAACGCUCUGGAAAGUGCGGCCAUAGCAGGUGAUAGCCCUGUAGGCGAAAACAGUAUGAAAGAACUAGGUGUGCGACAAGUAGGGCGGGACACGUGAAAUCCUGUCUGAAGAUGGGGGGACCAUCCUCCAAGGCUAAAUACUCGUGAUCGACCGAUAGUGAACCAGUACCGUGAGGGAAAGGCGAAAAGAACCCCGGGAGGGGAGUGAAAUAGAUCCUGAAACCGCAUGCAUACAAACAGUCGGAGCCUCGCAAGGGGUGACGGCGUACCUUUUGUAUAAUGGGUCAGCGACUUACGUUCAGUAGCAAGCUUAACCGUAUAGGGCAGGCGUAGCGAAAGCGAGUCCGAAUAGGGCGUUCAGUUGCUGGGCGUAGACCCGAAACCAGGUGAUCUAUCCAUGGCCAGGAUGAAGGUGCGGUAACACGUACUGGAGGUCCGAACCCACUAACGUUGAAAAGUUAGGGGAUGAGCUGUGGAUAGGGGUGAAAGGCUAAACAAACCUGGAAAUAGCUGGUUCUCUCCGAAAACUAUUUAGGUAGUGCCUCGUGUCUCACCUUCGGGGGUAGAGCACUGUCAUGGUUGGGGGGUCUAUUGCAGAUUACCCCGCCAUAGCAAACUCCGAAUACCGAAGAGUGCAAUCACGGGAGACAGACAUCGGGUGCUAACGUCCGGUGUCAAGAGGGAAACAACCCAGACCGCCAGCUAAGGUCCCCAAAUAUAGCUAAGUGGGAAACGAAGUGGGAAGGCUAAAACAGUCAGGAGGUUGGCUUAGAAGCAGCCACCCUUUAAAGAAAGCGUAAUAGCUCACUGAUCGAGUCGUCCUGCGCGGAAGAUGUAACGGGGCUAAGCUAUAUACCGAAGCUGCGGAUGCG